AUUGAACGCUGGCGGCAUGCUUUACACAUGCAAGUCGAACGGCAGCACGGGCUUCGGCCUGGUGGCGAGUGGCGAACGGGUGAGUAAUAUAUCGGAACGUACCCAGAAGUGGGGGAUAACGUAGCGAAAGUUACGCUAAUACCGCAUACGAUCUAUGGAUGAAAGCAGGGGACCGCAAGGCCUUGUGCUCCUGGAGCGGCCGAUAUCUGAUUAGCUAGUUGGUGAGGUAAAGGCUCACCAAGGCGACGAUCAGUAGCUGGUCUGAGAGGACGACCAGCCACCCGGAACCUGGCCCCCGGUCCCACCCCCUCCGGGGGGCCGCGGGGGGAAUUUUUGGCCAGUGGGCGCAACCCUGAUCCAGCAAUCCCGCGUGGUUGAAGAAGGCCUUCGGUUUGUAAAGCCUUUUUUUCGGGGAAAAAACGUUUGGGGCUAAGUCCCUUUGCUAUUGCCGGUCCCUGAAGAAUAGCCCCCGGCUACCUCCGU
RNAcentral lists this ribosomal RNA (483 nucleotides) under uncultured bacterium. RNAcentral describes it as "partial 16S ribosomal RNA". It matches the Rfam family "Bacterial small subunit ribosomal RNA", at positions 30 to 506 of the family's 1533-position model. The record is from RNAcentral.